This is a long non-coding RNA of Lathyrus oleraceus (garden pea), 533 nucleotides long. RefSeq lists it as uncharacterized. The transcript is spliced from 3 exons. The record is from RefSeq and is a predicted model, not a curated record. NCBI's taxonomy places the organism in Eukaryota, Viridiplantae, Streptophyta, Magnoliopsida, Fabales, Fabaceae.
UAGUGGUGUGCCGUCGCGGUGGUUCGCGGAGACUAGGGUUUCUUCUAAACCUUCUAUGCUUGUUACUCAUACCAUUUUUUCAAAGUUUGGCAAGAUAAGCAAGCUUGAGUAGAUUUGGCCUAUCAUCUCAACUCAAGGUUUAGCCAUGGUAGACUUAUUGAUGCAAGCUUGGGGAAUGUUUGGCCUUGAGGUGUGCAUGCAUCACUGCCUCAACAACUGGUUUUUCAAUGCACAUGGAUGAAUCCUAUUGAACCCUUCUUCCAGUUCAGCAUAUGGAUGUAGGACCAAUGUACUUCCUUUGUAUCUCACUUUCAAACUCAUGCCUAAAGGACUUGCAGCUCAUGGUGACAAGUACUGCAAACCCAAUGCAUUGGUGUGGUUCCAUUUGGCUUGUUGCAGGCUUUGGGGUAUGUCUUAUUUUAGUGACUUUGUAGCAGCAGUCAUGAGUUCAGUUGGCUAGGUCCAUAUGUUAUGCAAUGAUGGCUCAUACUUGGUGGUUGUUGCAUUAUUGGUUGCAGGAAUUGUUGCUGCAG